This 85-nucleotide non-coding RNA is filed under the name Metabacillus litoralis. Its description in RNAcentral is "Bacillus litoralis c-di-GMP sequence". It matches the Rfam family "c-di-GMP-I riboswitch aptamer". Rfam says of the family: GEMM was predicted in a large-scale screen for bacterial structured RNA regulatory elements. Genes associated with GEMM are involved in a diverse array of functions, including chemotaxis regulation, signal transduction, secretion and chitin. The record is from Rfam by way of RNAcentral. Lineage: Bacteria; Bacillati; Bacillota; Bacilli; Caryophanales; Bacillaceae.
AAGAAAAAAUGGCAAAAUCACUUAAAAGUGAUGACGCAAAGCUUUAGGGGCCUCUGCCUUAGGGCAAAGCUAGCCAGCUACCAUC